Molecule: small nuclear RNA, 107 nt
Organism: Cebus imitator (Panamanian white-faced capuchin)
Lineage: Eukaryota; Metazoa; Chordata; Mammalia; Primates; Cebidae
Source: Ensembl
GUGCUCGCUUCAGCAGCACAUAUACUAAAAUUGGAACGAUACAGAGAAGAUUAGUAUGGCCCCUGCACAAGGAUGACAUGCAAACUCCUGAAGCGUUCCAUAUUUUU